CUCUAAUCAAAGAGAACGACACCUCUGAAUCAUAUGUCCGCCUGAACCUAAUAAAAAGCCAAAAGUCAGUUUGUGCAGCACGACUCAGAUCUGGAACCCGUCCUCUAGCUAUAAAGACUCUUCUUCUCCUAAAGAGAAUUUCCCGCUGGGGAAAAUAAACCAUUAAGGUGGUCCACAGCGCCAAGGUGAACAUCUGUCUGGAUGACAUCACUUUCUCGCCAGGCUGCCUGCUCUCGUCUACUUCAGAAGCACUGGAGACCCCCCGUCCCCAUCAGGCCAUAUAAUAAGCCUACCAGGUUCCUGUAACUUUUACUUGCCAGAGGACAUGUGGGAGGAGACCUGCCAGCUGACUCAGAACCCCGAUAAUGACCUUGACUGGAGGAUUGGCCAGAAGAGUCACCCAUAAAACUGGACUCCUCACUGACCACAGCCCUGG
Oncorhynchus tshawytscha (Chinook salmon) is the source of this 436-nucleotide long non-coding RNA. Lineage: Eukaryota; Metazoa; Chordata; Actinopteri; Salmoniformes; Salmonidae. The record is from Ensembl.